RNAcentral lists this long non-coding RNA (271 nucleotides) under Lytechinus variegatus (green sea urchin). RNAcentral describes it as "uncharacterized LOC121412498". Lineage: Eukaryota; Metazoa; Echinodermata; Echinoidea; Temnopleuroida; Toxopneustidae. The record is from RNAcentral.
CCGCUGAUGACUGAACAGCGAUUGAGCAGCGACCGGGGUCCUAAUUAGCGUAUGAGCCUCGUUGUACGGUCGCUUUGAUCGCAGAAGCAGCGCAUCACAUCUGCCUCAAAUCGUGGCAAGAGAGUGGCAGCGUCGUACUAUCAGCGUAUUACUAUCGCCUUCAGCGCAGGUCCGUCGCAGUGAAGUUGCAGUGCAAUCGCCUCUCAGGCUAAAAAUAGAGUUCGAGGACGAUUCUGCUACGCUUUGCGGGAUUUAGACAGAUCGCCAUGGU